This 343-nucleotide long non-coding RNA is filed under the name Glycine max (soybean). Its description in RNAcentral is "long non-coding RNA (GMAX_LNC000009)". Lineage: Eukaryota; Viridiplantae; Streptophyta; Magnoliopsida; Fabales; Fabaceae. The record is from RNAcentral.
ACACCGUACAUCGUUGACUUUUUAGGCCUGCCAGGCCCUAGCUAGGGGAUUAGCCACUCAUGGCCAUUGAGGGUUUACAACUGGGGGUGAAAGAAAGAAUAGGGAUAAAAACAAAGAAGAUAGAGGAGGAAGAGAGAGCUCAGGCUUGGAGUGCUGAAAACAGUGCUCUGAGGCGAGAUGAUUUGAUUCCCUGGGAUUGACUCUUUAUUUAUAGUUGCUGAAGUGGGCUUUGGGUCUUCAGAGUCACGCUCAGCGCGACACCUCGUGCUUAGCGAGUUCGGAUCGCGCGCUCAGCGCGCCUUGCCAGCUUAGCCUAUACUUCUGUUGAAUCGCGCGCUUAGCG